Molecule: non-coding RNA, 3953 nt
Organism: Zea mays
Lineage: Eukaryota; Viridiplantae; Streptophyta; Magnoliopsida; Poales; Poaceae
Source: RefSeq, a predicted model, not a curated record
GGUUCGGGUUAGUCCAUUAGACCCUGACAACCUGUACCCGGACCCUCUCGCCUCCUAUGGCCUGUGCCUCCCUAGUCCCCAGUCCCCACGGAGGCCGCCGGCAAUCCGGCAUGCCUCUCGCGGCCGUUGCCGCGCACCUCCACGUUCGGCGUAGCGCUGGGGGUGCGGCUGCUCGACGCCCUCUCCCAAGCCCCUGGCGGCCUCCACAGGGCGCUCGCCACCGCCUCCUCCACGCCGCGUCGCCCGCGGUCGUGGCCUGUGCUCGCUGUCCUCAAGUCCAUCUACACGCUCUCCAAUAACACGUACGUCCAACGAUCGUCGAGGGCUUCCUCGGCCUCCAGGUGCACAAGGGGUUCAGGAACGGGAUCGACGCGCUCGGGGUGGUCGUCAAGGUCGCCGUCAUCGUCUCUGAGAUAUAUGUCGAGGCGGUUCUUCAUCCAGUGCGUGCAACUAUGUUCGUGUACGAAUAGACAAGUGUGGUUCAAGAAACUGUACAUCAAUUUAUAGAGUGUUUGGUUUGAGGAAUGAUGUAGUCCAUCAUCUUCUCACACUUCACUUUUUUGUUUGGUUUGUGAAAUGGAGUGAGUUAAUCCAUCACCACCUCAUUCCUCAAAGUUAGUUGUUUAGUACUAAUAUGUGGAAUAGAGUCAUCCCACCAAAUUUGAGGAAUGAACCUAUUAUGCACCACUUCAUUUUGGAUAGAGUGAUUCAUCAAACCAAACACCUCAUUAAGGAUCCAAUCGUAUUGAUUUCAUCGAUCAAAUCUUUUUUGCCAGAGUAAAUUCUGACAUGGAAUUCUGAGUGUUGUUUUCUAGAUUGCCAUCCAGUCGGAGUUCCAAUUCUGUAGAAUGCUGGUUUGGGUGAAGCAUAGUUUGUAAAUUUGACCACUCAUUGUAGCUUAGCUGUAAUGGAGAUUUGCAACCUGGUACAUUGCCUACUUACCCCGUAGCGUCAAACCUUUUAGUUCAUUAAGAUUUUACUCUUUGCCGUAAUGCAACUGUGGAUACAUUACUCUCUAUAGAUCUGUAGUUUGUUCUUGGAUAACUCAAAUUAAACAGAAAAUCAACAGAAUUGGAUAUCUGGAAUUUCAUGGGCCUAUGAUUUAUCAGCAAGAUCAUUAACCUUACUAAACUCAAAGAGUAUAAUGUUGAACAUUUUUGCUAUGCUUAUUCAUAUUGUUCUUGUUAGUUCCAACUCUUGAUCCUUCUGCACAUAAGGGCACAGGCUAAAAAGGCCCAAUAUAUUAAGUUUACUUAUUACUGUGCUCUGUUGCCAUGUUUUUUGAUUCUCUGAUGUACCAUUGCUACAUUCUAUCCUUGAAAUUCUCUGAUGAGCAGAUCAAAUCUAGACUCUGCUACGAAGAAAUACUUAAGAGAUCCUCAGAACUUUUAUUUCUAUAGAUGACAUAGUUAUAUACACAAAUGACUCUUCUGGAGACUCACUACCACAUUCACUUGUGACAAUGGUAAACAAGUGACAGCAGAUUGACACAUACAUUAAAUCUACAUUAGUUGAACUAAAUUCUUGAGCUUCUAAUGAUGUAAGUUUAUUUUAAUGGAAAUAAAAAAACUGUGCUCGACGUCGCACAACUUCAAAUAAGACAUUGGGUCUUAGUUUUUGUGUGGUUGAGACUUGAGAAUCAUAUCCAUGAUUCAAUGGUGGAUUUAUACUUGUAGUUGUAGGGAUUUAAUCCAUUUAGUUGCGCAAGAAUGUCAGAUGUGUCCAGCAUGUCCUCUUCUUUCAUAUGGUCCUGAAAAAAAGGUAAGAGAUCUUGUUAACUAUGCAUAGAAGUAUUCCAGGUUCUUGUUUAAAAACAAUGAGAAUGCAUAAGAAGAAUCAUGUUUUUUUUUAUUCCAGGUUCUCGUUUGAUAAGACUGUGUAUAGUUCAAUUGAAAACUUACAGUUUGUUCAUAAUGUUCAUGACUCUGGGAGCCUGAUUGCGCUGCUUCACAGAGUUCAUCAUUCUUGGCAAACCUUCCACGGACACGGGGCCUGCUAUCCGCCAAGGUUUUUCUACAUGCGUACUGCAUUUCGUUGUAUGUCAGGCUGUCAGCACAGCUGAAUACGUAAGAUGUCCAUGCGGAGGCGACAAGCGGACGACCUUAAACGUGGAGUCUUCCAGUACUGAUAGUUCCGUCGGAGGUAACGUUGCUGGGUUCCCGUUGCAUCCGUUUAUCAGCCUGGAAGAACUGCUCCAGUUUGCUGAUACAUGGCUCCAUCCAGACCCAUGAACCCUCCAGCUGCUACGGCUGCCAUGAAGCACUCAUCAUAGUCUGUAGCGAGCGGCAUCAAGGCAGAUGCACUGCUGCUCAUCUGCACUGGAGGAGGCACCUGCUCGUCUAAGGUCUCUGGAAGUCCCAUCUGGUCGAACUGCCCUAUGCUGGCCUCAUCGGUGGCAGUUGGAUAGUAUGCUGCUACCUCUGAUAGGCCAUCGAUCUGCGGGAGGAACCCGGCGUCAAGGCCAUGGUGCUGCUCUUCCUCCAGGAGGGCUGUGAGAGUGGUGUCGAAGGAUGUCAACGGGGUGUAGGCUGUGGCUCCACCAGCAGCUGCGGUGUCUUCACUGUAGCCGCAGAUAGGAGGGGUGGUAGCGGUAGACGAAGAAACAUCAUCGUCAGUGGCAGGGAAUGGGCCAGAGGUGGCAGUCACCGCGGCAAAGAGGUCAUCGCCCAGGCCGUCGCCGUAGUAGAAGUCGAGUAUAUGUGCAGCUAUGGGGCUUGAAAUUUCCUCCUGCAAAUUUCAGAGCGGGACAAGACAUGCAAGCACCUGUUGUCCUAGGAAACGUAACGGAUCGGACUUGUUGCCAUUUUAAUUACAACUCCACAUGGGCAUCGGCAUGCGUUGAUGCAUAUAUAGGCACGAUGCAAGAAACGCGGCAGCAAAAGGAUGUCGAGAAGGAAACGAAUGAAAUCGCUCGGUUGGGUUUCAUAAAAACAUCAUCAUCCCAGAAAGUAGGAAGAGGCGAGCAAAAAACCGUGUUGGGUCAGAGAAGCAAAAUUACAGCGACGAUGUGGCAGCAAUCAUCGGGAAGCAUGGCGGGCACCAACGAUCUUCAGCGCAUGGAGAUGAUCAGAUUGGCGCGCGGCGCAGCUUCUCGGGUAAAAAAAAUCUCUCCAACAUAUUACAUUGAUCCUUGAGAAGAGAAAUGGUUCUACUCUGUGGUUAUAUAAUGGGAGAAGAGAGGGGGGGCAUGUGUGCGAGCAAGGUGGGCCGAAAAUAAGCCUGUUUUGGCCAUGCAGAUGCACAUGCAUGACUUCCUCUCUCUGUUUUUUUUUUUGGCCAAGAUGACAACACCGAGGAGCAAGGAAGCUAGUCAGCUCCCAGAAGUUUCUCUGCUACAAUUGCGGUCGGGAGAGAGACUGCUUAUUCCGGCCUGGGAAGAAGUCCUGAAAGAAUUCGGUCACUCCUCGGACCCCGAUGAACGGGGACGUCUUAGCUGGCUGCCCUUGCUACUGUAGAAGAUCUCUUAAUUUGCUGAUAAGCUGGAAAAAAUAUAGUUAUGGCAGGGUUGGACACAUUAUCAAGCUAGGGCGGGAGGGAGACGACUUACAAUGCACAAGGCAUCUGGGAUGGCCAUGGCGGCUGCGUCCUCCUCGAACAACAUCAUCAUUAUUUGUAUACGAUGGUACCAGAGCCGCUCGAUCAAUAAUGGAGGCUGGGGGAGAGUGGAGGGUUGAUGGUGUCCCCCAUGGAGAACGCAUGAGCUCGAUACUUAUAUAUGCGGAAGGGAGAACAAGAACAACUGCACGGGCAUCUUUUUUUUUAUUUUUAUGUUUUUCUCUCCCUAACCUUUUGCUAUAAUUGGGUGGUGCCGUUGGUGAGACGAACCGAGCCGACAAACAACAGCCUAGCCUGGUGGCGCUCGAUGGAGUUUUUGGCGUUUACUACUCAUAUAUGGUGCAUAUAUUCAUGCGUGAGAGUACGCAAGUAGCUAGGUAGAUGUGACUGUUGGAUUA